CCUACGGGUGGCAGCAGUGGGGAAUAUUGGGCAAUGGGCGCAAGCCUUACCCAGCAAUACCGCGUGAGUGAAGAAGGUCUUCGGAUGGUAAAGCUCUUUGAACAGGGACGAACAGAUGACGGUACCUGAAGAACAAGCCGCGGCUAACGACGUGCCAGCAGCCGCGGUAAAACGUAGGGGGCGAGCGUUUUACGGAAUGACUGGGCGGAAAGGGUGCGUAGGCGGCAGAAUAAGUUAGAAGGGAAUUACCCCGAGCUUAACUCGGGUGCUGCUUCUUAGACUUUUGAGCUUGAUUGCGGGGGAGGUUACUGGAAUUCCUAUUGUAGCGGUGGAAUGCGUAGAUAUUAGGCGGAACACCAGCGGCGAAGGCGCUUAACUGGACCGUACCUGCCGCUGCGGCACGAAAGUGUGGGUAGCAAACAGGAUUAGAUACCCCGGUAGUC
Molecule: ribosomal RNA, 443 nt
Filed under: uncultured bacterium
Lineage: Bacteria
Description: partial 16S ribosomal RNA
Rfam family: Bacterial small subunit ribosomal RNA
Source: RNAcentral